This 408-nucleotide ribosomal RNA is filed under the name uncultured bacterium. RNAcentral's name for it is "partial 16S ribosomal RNA". It matches the Rfam family "Bacterial small subunit ribosomal RNA", at positions 29 to 526 of the family's 1533-position model. The record is from RNAcentral.
AGUGAACGCUGGCGGCGUGCCUAAUACAUGCAAGUCGAACGGAGUGGCGCACGGGUGAGAAAUAUAUAGCUAAUCCGCCCUUUGCUGGAGGACAACAGUUAGAAAUGACUGCUAAUACUCCAUAGCAAGGGAUGAGACUAUAUCGUAUCAGCUAGUCGGUGGGGUAACGGCCUACCGAGGCUAUGACGAGUAACAGUGCUGAGAGGAUGUUCAGUCACAUUGGAACGGAGACACGGUCCAAGCUCCUACGGGAGGGAGCAGUAGGGAAUAUUGCGCAAUGGGCGAAACCCUGGAGCAGCAUCGCCGUGUGGAGGAUGACACUUUGCGGAGCGUAAACUCCUUUUGUUAGGGAAGCGGUACCUAACGAAUAAGCACCGGCUAACUCCGUGCCAGCAGCCGCGGUAAUAC